GCUCUAAUGCAGCUACUAUACAGUAACGGUCGCAAGCCCGUAUAAAUGCAGAGUGGAGU
RNAcentral lists this non-coding RNA (59 nucleotides) under unclassified sequences. The record is from RNAcentral.